Molecule: ribosomal RNA, 465 nt
Filed under: uncultured bacterium
Lineage: Bacteria
Description: partial 16S ribosomal RNA
Rfam family: Bacterial small subunit ribosomal RNA
Source: RNAcentral
CCUACGGGAGGCAGCAGUGUGGAAUAUUGCGCAAUGGGCGAAAGCCUGACGCAGCGACGCCGCGUGAGGGAUGAAGGUCUUCGGAUCGUAAACCUCUGUCAGCAGGGAAGAACGGUCACUGUGCUAAUCAGCAGUGAAUUGACGGUACCUGCAAAGGAAGCACCGGCUAACUCCGUGCCAGCAGCCGCGGUAAUACGGAGGGUGCGAGCGUUAAUCGGAAUUACUGGGCGUAAAGCGCUCGUAGGCGGUAUGUCAAGUCAAGGGUGAAAUCCCCGCGCUCAACGUGGGAACUGCCUUUGAAACUGGCAAACUGGAGUGUGUGAGAGGAUAGUGGAAUGCCAGGUGUAGGAGUGAAAGCCGUAGAUAUCUGGAGGAACAUCAGUGGCGAAGGCGACUAUCUGGCACAUAACUGACGCUGAGGAGCGAAAGCGUGGGUAGCAAACAGGAUUAGAUACCCGGGUAGUC